Molecule: transfer RNA, 67 nt
Filed under: Typhlosyrinx sp. MNHN IM 2013-18371
Lineage: Eukaryota; Metazoa; Mollusca; Gastropoda; Neogastropoda; Raphitomidae
Description: tRNA-Ala
Rfam family: tRNA
About the family: Transfer RNA (tRNA) molecules are approximately 80 nucleotides in length. Their secondary structure includes four short double-helical elements and three loops (D, anti-codon, and T loops). Further hydrogen bonds mediate the characteristic L-shaped molecular structure. tRNAs have two regions of fundamental functional importance: the anti-codon, which is responsible for specific mRNA codon recognition, and the 3' end, to which the tRNAs corresponding amino acid is attached (by aminoacyl-tRNA synthetases). tRNAs cope with the degeneracy of the genetic code in two manners: having more than one tRNA (with a specific anti-codon) for a particular amino acid; and 'wobble' base-pairing, i.e. permitting non-standard base-pairing at the 3rd anti-codon position.
Source: RNAcentral
GACUUUGUACUUUAAAUUAAAAGAUUUGACUUGCAUUCAAAAAAUAAGUUUUAAUACUUCGAGGUCA